RNAcentral lists this long non-coding RNA (543 nucleotides) under Homo sapiens (human). Its description in RNAcentral is "HSALNT0141933". Lineage: Eukaryota; Metazoa; Chordata; Mammalia; Primates; Hominidae. The record is from RNAcentral.
AAAGCGGCAACAUGGGGAUGUAAAAGAGGUAAUGCUGCUAGAAAUAUUCUUCACGUGUCAAAUGGUGCACCGAUGCAAGAGAUUUCUACCACGUAAACCCAAAACUGAAGUUGCUGUAUUGUAAGUGUUGAGGUGAGCAAGUUCUACAGCAGGCAGAUCAGCAAAUGGAUGAGGAAUGGUGGUGCCUUAGACCAGCCUGAUAACAGGAGAAGUGUUUGCAUACCAGAUACAUGUUGAAGGUCAGCCCUAUGCAUUAUGAGUGGAUGGAGGAAAUAUACAACAGUGUGAAUACUCAAGAGGUGAGAAUCAUUGGUGGCCAUAUGGGAAACUGGCUACCACAGAAACCCAACCUAGUUUUGGCAGGGAGAGAGAGUGGUUUAAACAUCUAGUCAUGGAAAUGAAAUUUAGAUCAUAGAAGAUUUAAAAUGUUGGGAAAAAUAACUGAUUUUGUGGCUCUAGUUAUUUUAAUAAUCAAUUGGAUUGAUUAUAUGGAUGACAGAUUCUGCAAUGUCAUAACUGAAAUGCCUAAAGAUCUUUGCUUGG